Molecule: transfer RNA, 3802 nt
Filed under: Delphinapterus leucas (beluga whale)
Lineage: Eukaryota; Metazoa; Chordata; Mammalia; Artiodactyla; Monodontidae
Description: lncRNA (ENSDLEG00000014463.1)
Rfam family: tRNA (bases 3158-3230)
Source: RNAcentral
CAGGGCUGGGGUCCAACCAUGUGGCAGCAGUUUCUUUUUUUUUUUUUUUUUUGACAUUUAUCUUGGUUUAUUUUAUUUUUUAAUACAUGUUUGCUUUUCUGUGGCAACAGUUUCGACUGGGAGAGAGGCUCGGGAGACCUGAGGCAGGGAGGCGAGGAGCUGGGAGGUCCUCAGACCACUUUGAAUCCACCUUAAUCCUGUCUGUAGCCAAAACCCAGCCCCAGCGCUCAGUGUGACCUGUCUGGGGCCAGGGCCGCCCUCUUCCUGGCCGUGACCCAGGACCGGCCUGGGGCCCAGCACGAUGUGAAGGCACUGGGGACCUGUGCCAGGCCCUGGGCUUCGAGACCACCCUGAAGACAGACCCUACAGCCCAGCUUCUCCAGGGGGACCAGAGAACCAGCUGCAGGAGGCUGGACCCACGUCACCUCCAAUGAGGCCAUGCAACCAGAAGGGCACAGGGACGCACACUGGUGUGGGACGCACACUCUCCCCUGGUUGUGGCUCUGGCUGCAGGCACCACCAGCCACCCCCUCCCCCGGCCGAUGUCCUCCACAUCUAUGCUGAUGUGCAAGGUGGGUCUACCUACCUCAGGGAGCCUGGGCUUGGGCGGGGCUGGUGGGGGGAGCUGUCUGGAGAGCACUUCCAGGGCUCUGAGCUGGGAUCCUGCUGCCACCUCCUUCCUCUCUUCGUCAAGAAGAUGGGAAGGAAAACCUUAAAUGGCAAAGGCCUUUGAAAAUGGAGAGUUUCUUCCCCUACUUGAGCCUGAAACAAGUGAAGGUGAAAUAGCUUUUCCGAGGUCACACAGCUGGUAAGAAGCAGCAGGGCUGAGAUUUGAAACUUGAUCUGGCUUUCCUGCUCUGCACUCUUUCUACUGCCCUGUGUGCCCUUGAGCAAGACUGGAGGAGACCCUUGGGGCUGGUGGAGUCCCAGGACGCUGGGUAAAAGGCAUUGGUCCCUCUUGCAGGCAGCUUCUCCGGGGGCCCCACUCCAGGGAGCCCUAACCAAGCAGACAUCUUGAUGGUCUACGCAGCCACUGAAGGUAAGGGGAUGGGUCUCCACAAAGCCCAUUACACAGGGCCUAGCCUCCUGGCCAGAGAUCUGAAGUGGCUUUAGGGGCAUCUGGCGCUUGGCUGUUGGGGUGCAGGGGUACCAGCCUCGUCGCAGUUAAGCCGUCUUCCUUCCAUGUAUAUUAUUUAUGAUAAUAGUAACGAUGGUGAGCACAUAUUGAAGGCUGGCUCUGCUAAGCACUGUACCUACAUCCUUUCCUCUAGGCUGUAAGUUCCAUGAGGGCAGGACAGUUCUGUCUGCCUCAGGGCCCUGGCCAGUGCCUGGCACGUAGUAGGUUCACAGUAAAUGUUUCUUCGAUAUUGAAUCCAUUGUAUAUUCACUACACAAACAUUGAGCAACAACUUGAUCCGGAAGCGAGAAGUUCCUGCUCCCCUGCCCCAUUCUCUUGCCUGACUGCUGGGGUCCUGUGUGCUUGCCCCCACCUCCACCAACAAUAGGCCCCUGGGGAGGCAAUAGGAAGGCAGCUGGCAGGGGCCUGAGUCUGACACUCUGGCCCUGGUGCCCUGGCCUGGGCUGUGUAGCCUUUCGGGAUGAGAAGGGCUCAGACUUUAUCCAGAUGCUGGUGGAGGUCCUCAGAGCUGACCCCAGGGAAGACCUCCUGGAGCUGAUGACUGAGGUGAGUUGGGGGUGGGGGGUCUCCUGGGGAGAGGAGCUGGAUUCAUCCUUCUUCUCAGCCCUGGUGUUCUGGUCACCUCCUAUUCACCCCAUUGCAGAGGGAGGGAUACCCCGCCCUCAAUAGUAUGAGACGGUUGAACACACAACACCCGGCCCUGGACAGUGAGACGGACAGCAGUUAUUAACCACAUAUACUCACAGCUGGGGGAGGAGGACACCUCAGGCCAUUCUGGCCACUCAGUGUUUCCCUGGGAAGUACAGGGAACCAGCAGGGGUUGUAGAUGCAGACUUUGUAGUAACGGGGUGGGGUACUAGUUUGAAUAAUUUCACAGGCUGGCAGGGAACUGGGGUGGAGUGUGGCUGAUCUGGCUGGUGGGGGAACUAGCGGGAUGGGGGGGCCUUCCCUGCUGGGUCGGGGGGUACAGCUGACAAGAGCAGGGGAAACCAACGGGGCCUGUGAGACCCAAAGAUGUGAAGGCAACACUUGAAACUUUAGGCCUUACAAUACACUGGAUGCCAGGCUGGGCGCUGGGGGACCUGGCAGUCCUGGGCACAGGCUGGGUGUGGUCGGCACAGGUCAGUUGGCAGGUGUGCAAGCUAGACGUGCUGGGUCCCUACUGUGAUGAGCACCGCAAGGCCUGUCUGGAGAUCCGCAGCUCGUUGAGGUGCUGGCUCUGCCUGCAGGCCUGACUGAGCCCGCGGCUACCAAGGGGAUGCUGACUGUGGGUGGCCACACACCAACGCCAUCCCUGACCCCAUCCGCUCCUCGGUUUCCUCAUCUAAAAGCGGCGCGAUAGCACGGGAGGCUCAGCCGCCAUGGAAUAAACAUGAUGAUCGCUGUACACGUGAAUAGCGCCUGCACGCAGGGAGCUGUGACACUAAGUGAGAUAAUGUAUGCAGAGUGCCUGGCACUUCAGAGGCUGGGCCCACCGGGUGAGGAGGGGGAGCAGGGGAGGCGCCAGGGCAGCCUCCGGCUCUAAGAAACCCAACAUGGGCUAGGCUGAGCUGGAUGUCCUGGGAAAGGGCAGCGCGGGGUCCACACCAUCCUCCCAGCACGCGCACCCCACCUGCACACCACGCUGGGGCCACGGACAGGGCCUCUGCCUAUACAGCAGUCAGAGUCCAUUCUGGGGCCAUAAGACUGGAACAGAGCAUGGCAGGUUUAGCAGUGCUGUGAUAGGGGAAGCAAAGGGGCUGGGGGAGCAGAGGGCAACUCCUGACCCACUGCGGGCCGGGGUCACGUGGGAGAAGAGAUCAGGAGCCUCUCGGGACAGGAGGGGCUUGGGCAGCCUCACCCAGGCUCGAACCCUCACUUGGGCUGUGCUCAGUAGCGCUCAGUCGCACAGCUUGGAGCCCCGCUCACACCGAGCCCGAGGGGCGGGGCUCCUUGCCAGUGUGAGCAUGCGUAUUACGGCAUAUUGAACAGGCGCCUGAGAAAGCUUUAUGAGAAAAGCUGCAAUAGAAAUAACGGCAAGGCCGCGUGGCCUAAUGGAUAAGGCGUCUGAUUCCGGAUCAGAAGAUUGAGGGUUCGAGUCCCUUCGUGGUCGUUGCAGAGAUUGCUUUUUCUACUCCGGGUAAAAAACAAACAAACAAACACUUUUCCCUCUCUCCAGACUGCUCCCUACGCGGGCCUAGGAUCCUCGGGCCAUGUCCGCCCCUCGGACGUAGCGCUGCACCUGCAGCUGCGUAGCUCGGGACACCUGGGAGGCCCCGAGGGCGCUGGGAGGACCUAUAGUGCUCAGAUCCAGACGAAAUGCUGACUCUGAAGCCCACCGGCCGUGAGUGCCGGGAGCCCACACGGGACUGGCUGCAUGAAUAUAGUUCAGACGACGAGAACUGCGACAGAUGAGUGGUUGAAUUUUUGCACGGGUAGGUCACCCCCAAGGGGUCAGUGGACAGGGGCAUUUAAAAAUAUAAUAGAUUAUUGUGAUGAAGUUUUGGAAAUAGAUAGUAAUGAUGCUUGCACAAUAUUGUAAAUGUAACUGAUGCCAGUAAAUUGUACAGUUAAAAAUGGUUAAAAUGGCAAAUUUAACCUUAAGCGUAUAUUUUACCACAAUAAAAAAUGUGAAAAGAAAUUAAUAGAUUAUUUCGAUUUCUUGCAGUGAGAGUAUACCCUUAA